This is a long non-coding RNA of Astatotilapia calliptera (eastern happy), 423 nucleotides long. The record is from Ensembl. NCBI's taxonomy places the organism in Eukaryota, Metazoa, Chordata, Actinopteri, Cichliformes, Cichlidae.
GUGCUGUUUAGCCGAGUGGGACUCGCAGUAGGCCCCAGGCCAGCCGCCUUCGGUUGGACGUUAAUGAACGGAGCAGGAAUGGGCACAUCUGAUGAAGCUGGCCAUGCUGUCAACUGAUUUUCAUCUGGUAAGGGCUCAACAGACAGGUUGUUUCAACUCGCGUGAAGGAGAAAGAAGUGGCCGGCAUUUGUGGAUGGGAGAAAAAGAGGCUUUUGAUGAAUUGUCUGUGAAAGUGCAUCAGUCUACCCACAUCUUCAAAACCCCCCGAUGCCUCUUGUCUGCUUUCAGACUCAUUUUUCUCCACAUUGUUGGUAAUUUGAGCAUUCUCGCCCAUGGCAUCAUUCAUAGUUGGCCCAUUUAAAUCCCCUUAGAAAUUCAAUUUGGAGAAAGGAAAUGACAAGAUUUAGCUUAUUGAGGUAUGCC